Molecule: long non-coding RNA, 5895 nt
Organism: Gallus gallus (chicken)
Lineage: Eukaryota; Metazoa; Chordata; Aves; Galliformes; Phasianidae
Exons: 3
Source: RefSeq, a predicted model, not a curated record
GGCGCCAACAGCUCCAAAGUGUGUACUGAGGUGCGAGAUGGCCGCCACACAUCAUAGCAGGCCCAUUAGCUAGCUGGUCUGUGCUAAUGAACCCCAUGCUUCCACAAGCAGGGAAGGAACUCGGCCAUCCUCAUCCCUUACAGGCUAUCUGGUUGUCACUUGUGUCCUUUAGUCUCUCUCUCAUGUUGACAAUGAAACCAGUCUGCAGCUGGGCAGCAGAGGCUGUUCCUCAGCCUGGAACAGUUGCAUGCAGCUGCCCCCUCAGCAGUGCCAGGCCUGGGACGACUUCAGUGUCACAGCAGUUGAGCUACAGUUCCACUUAUUGCUCAGAUCGCUGGGAAUUAAGAUGUUGCAAUUAUUUGAUGACCUAGCUGAGGAGAAGAGACAGAGGAAUCAACCUUCACUGAGCAUCUGGGACUGAAUGCCAGAGAUGGAAGAUUGAGAGAGAUCUAAUGGAAUUAACAGUGAUAAAGCUUCUAUACCAACCAUAAUGUUGGAGACUACCAAUCCUUACCCGGCAUAAGCAGACUGUACUCAGUUAGCAGAAGCCUUCUUUACAGACUCAGUACUAUUAGAAGAUUUUAUAUUUGAGAAGUGAGAUUGCAAUCACAUAGGUAUGUGAGAGAAUCAUUUGGUUUGGACUUCUCAGUUUUCUUGAAGUUUACAUUAAUUUCUAUUUAAUUCAAGUAAACUUGCCUUUGAACAAAAAUAGACAAGAAAAUACAGCAUAUCUGAAAACUUACAAUGGAUUUACUAUCCCUAUGAAAAUUCCAGGUUCUAGCAUCUCGUUUUCAGCUACUCCCUGCAGCUGUUGCAACUAAGAACUCAUUUCUAAGAGUUAUUUCUUUGAAAUUACAGGAAGAGCUUUCUGCUCUAGAACAGGCAGGGCAGAGCAAAUCUGUUUGUGACCAGGGCAAAUCUGAUCUCAGAUAAUUUCUUUUGAGUACCAUUGGCACAAACUCCAUUAGUCCAGAAUACACAGUAACUUUCGCAAAGUUGCUAACACCUUAUUCAGUUGUUUCAGUCUCUGGAAUAGAUACGGUAUCGGAGAACUAAGAGUUAUUGCUUACCGAAGAGUACCUGAAAGCUAAACAAACCAUUCUGGAACAAGUUGAAUUAAAAAUACUCAAUGUCAGAUAUCCUUUUAUUAUUUUCUUAUUCUGAAUAAAAGCAUCCCAAAAAGAUAGCUUCUUUAAUCACGAGACAGCACCAGAGAACAUUCAGAAUCUGAUACCAUCGGUCAGCUCAGCUCUCCCAGCAGCAUAUUAGACUCCUGAAAUUCUCAGGCAGUUCCAUCAAAUGUGAAACAGCACUGAAAGAAAAAAAAUGAAAGAAUGAAAAACAUUCACCAUGCAGUUGCUAAGACAAACUGGCCUCUAGCUACCGAUAAAGGGAUUUGAAAUGAGCAAGCUUACAAUAAGGAGUGAUGCAAACUUACAUCACACAUGAAGUAGGUUUAAAAUCUAAAUAUGACAUCAGUAUAAAUUUUCUUUCCAAGGUGAAAUGAAAUGAGCACGUUCUUCAAAGGCUGAUAGCACUUUGUCCUCACUAUUCAGUCUGAAUCAGUCUCCUCAAGUUAUAGGCUGUGAUGCUGUUAUAAAAUGAGAAGAUUUAGUCUUCCCCUUUUGCCAGCCUAUACUAAAUGUAUCAUAAUGUAGCUGACAUUGGGGAAAAAAAAAAAUCAAAUGGAAUGGAAUGAAAAACUUGGCCACAUCACAGGUGCUGUGGUAUUAAACAGCUGUUCUGUAACAGUUACUAUGUACCUUCCAUGAAGACCAUCUUCUCAAAAAAAAAAAAAAAAAAAAAGAAAAGAAAAGAAAAAGAAAAAGAAAAAAAACCUAAACCCAAAUAAAAGUAUAAAGAAUCAGUCAUUUUCAUGUUGGGAGGAAAGGCAGAGUGUUUGUUAUGUUUUGAAAACUUCCCAGUAAAGCCUGAACAGAGUCUGCACUAGAAGAGAAAUAGAGAUGAAAAUAAGCAAAACUGUUUUGAAAUGAGUCGAAGAUGGAGAGCAGGUAGUUAACAUUCUGGACAGAAUUAAUUUUAGUUUAAGGAGUAUAAAGAUAGCAGCAGCAAGGUUAGCGACCCUAACAACAUCAUUUUCUCUGGAAACGUUCCAUAUACCAACGCUCGAGCUGACACUCCAGGCAAGCCUGGAAGCUGAAUGAUAAGAGAGAAAGGUGAAAGUAGCACAGGAAACCCAACUCUGAAAAUAAUGAAGGGAGAUGAGGACUGACAGCAAAUGACAGAUCACAAAUACUACUGGAGCUGAGGUCAUGGAAACAGUAGCGGGAAGUGGAAGAGUGCACUGAUGGGCCAUGAUCUCCUGAGUGAGACCAAAUCAGCAAGAAAUCUUUUCUGGUUAGAUGGGAGAGCUAGGCUCAGAAUGCAGACAGAGUGAAGACACAAGAAAACAUUCAACAGUUAUGUCAGAUGGGUCACUAAUAGGCAAGUUUAAAAAAAAGAAGUGGAAACCACAGAGGAUGAGUGAGUUGGAAAUUAAAGGAGGGGAAACAGUUAAGUGGAAAGCACAUAACAGUAACACAAAUGAAGUAAAAAGGAGAGCUGGAUGCGAGUGCAACAGAAAUGGAACAGAAGCUUAAAUUCCCUAUUACCAUCUAAUCUGUGAUGAGUAACAGAAACCAAGAAGAGGCAUCCAUAAAUGAAAAAGCCUCCAGGUGCUCCAAAAUGCAGGCUUCUGGAGACUGUGUAGGUGCCUCCUGAGCUCUGAUGGGCAGCCCAGACUCCUCACAGAGCCCUGUGGUUGCCUCAGAAAGGUAUGACAGUGCCCAGGGGGAACAUCAUACAUAAAGGAGCCCAGGUCUCAGAGAUCACAGAUACCACAACCCUUGGCUUGGAGAAAAGGCAGGGUACUGCAAGAGGAAUAAAGAGUACAGCUUACUGGGAUUACGAGUUUAAGGACUGGGAAGAAAGAUACCUUGCCAUUCACAGCCAACAAUACAGAAAUGAAGGAGUCUAAACAUCUGGCUUUAACUAGCAGAGAGGCAGAAAGCUGUGUUCAAAUAACAACAACAACAACUAUCAACAUUUUGCUGGUCGAAAUGCAUGAAAAAUCACUUAAUUUAUCAAAAUACAUAGCCUGCAUACCUAAAUAAUAUCCUAUUUAAUCUGAACCAUUCCUACGUAAGCUAUUUAAAUUCAAAGACAGCUGGUGGAUGCACAGGAUAGCCUUUUCAUGGAAAAUUAAGGUUUUUCAUUCCUUUCCAGAGAAUAGAAAUGAGUUGUAGGGUUUAUUUCCCUGUAACAUUUUGAUUAUUACCCCCAAACAUUCAAAUUUUUACCCUAGAAAAUCUGUGUGUGACUGUGAGACUAUGAAAUGUGGCUAUGAAACAUUUCAGAUUAGCCAUGCUGACAUAAUUUCUUUUUAUUUCUGUGAAAGUGCACGUUCUAUACUCUACUGAAAUUAUCAUACAUGCUUUGAAACUUCAGACAAAAACAAAGCAAAUACAACAACAAUCUUCUCAUAAAUAAAAAAUGACCAUUUUAAAUCACUUUCAAAUGGAAACUGUUCCUUGCUCUUGCUUGGCAGGUGAUAGGUUUUACAGACAAGCUAUAAAUGCUCCAAAUAGACAUAAAUAAUAGAAAUAAUUAUAGUCUUUGUAAAGCAGUAUGAACAAUUAUUCUGCAAUAUAAAAAUCUAUUUCCACUAUAAUCGACAAUGAAUCAGAUGCCCAUUAAUGAAUAAAUGUUGUGAAUCACAGUCUUUGAAAGAUCUAAGACUAUAAAAUACAACAGCUUCUUAAAAUUUGCCCUGAAGCUUGUCUGCAUUAACAAUGGUAUGACCAGAGAGGGUUAACAAAUAACUUGAGUUUGGGUUCACUGACCUAGCCUGGGUACAUCUGAUGUGCACGAGUUGUUUUGGUAUGGAUUUGAAAUCCAGUACACAUGGGGUCAGCCAACUCCUAAGGACACAUUUUUACAGUAUACUGGGAAACUACCAUGCUCUGACUUUGAAAAUAGCAUCAUACAUUUUAAAAAGAUAUUUUCAGAAAGCAGAAGAGCCUGGUUUAAUACAAUAACACUUUUAAGUGAUUUCUCAUUUUAUCUGAAACAAUUCACUCAUCCAUCAGUAUCCAAUUAGAUCUGGUAUGAGUCAGAUCGUAAUAUUGGCUGCUGAUGACUAAUAAGGCAGGUCAACAUCUAUACAUAGAACUACUCAGUGAUGAUACAGCGAUUGGCAACUUCAAUUAGGGACAGUGACAAUGCUUUUUUUUUUUAAAGUUUGUUUCUUUUGCCUUGAGUGUUUGAAGGAGGGAUAGAAAAUUGUAAUAAGACAAAUAAGAGGAGGAUACAGAGAUCUUUGAACCUUGGUCUCCCUUACCGUGACUUCUAAACGCACUAGUUAUAUCUAUAUAGAUAUCGAUCUAUAUAGGUCGCUCAGAAAUAGGAGGCAUUGCUUUCAAUUUAUUUCCAAAAUUACAAUGAAUACUGCUUGAUAGAGCAAAUUCUCAAAUGUUUUUCAACAUAGUCACAACAAUUAGCUGUGCAUUUUCACCAGUGCUGGACAAGAACCUGCACGACCUGCUCAGAAAAAUCUGCACCAGUGGAGGUGACCCACAGUCACUGCCACCACUGCUGAAACGCACCACCCACUGCCUCAGUGUGCUCACAUCCACUGUUAGGUCUCCGUAAACAUUCAGCAAGCAUCCAUGAAUGUUAAUGGGUGCAAUUUUUUCUGCAUAGAGGAAUUCAAUGACACACCUUUGCACUUCCAUGUUGGAUGCCAAUUUCCCAGCCUGCCCCUCUGCUGCCAUCUGUCACACAGCAACAAAAUGGAAUGGGAUACUGGGGGCAAGGUUCAACCUCUACUGCCAUACCACCAUCUGCCUCUGAUUUCAUGGACCAACAGAGAAGCCCCUGUAAUUUUACCACAAAAUGCUUUGUCAAAGAAAUAUUUACAUCACAAAUUUCCAGUAGACAGGCAAGUGAAAAAGAUCAUUACAAUUAUCUGUUAUACGUAAUGCAUCGCUGAGACUGCACACACUGAGUUAAGAUUUAGCCUUGUCUUCGUGUCUAGCAACUGGCUUUCAUUCAGACCACUGCUUCAUGUUAUAGUCCCAUCCACAACAGCAAUACUGUGCUAUAGAUGGUUGUUCCAUAGAAAAGUAUCUAAAAUUUAGCAGGCUGAGAAAAGGAUGCACACACAGAUUUAAGACAUGGUUCAGUUGUGGUCAACUAGCCAAGCAAAUGUUUCUCUUUUUGUGGAGCCAAUUGAUACAGCAAAGUGUUGAAUGAGUGCUGUCUAGCUCUGGACUUGCUCAGAUAUCUCUACAUUGGACUGCACGCUCUACACUGAGUCUCAUUUUUUCUACUUCUAAUGAUGAAAACUAUACUGACGGUCACAGCCCACACCCCAUAUCUACAUAUCUUACCUCUUCAUAUUCACAGGAUCUCUAUUUAAAUAUAAUCAUUUUAAAUGUACGUUGUAAAGAAAAUAAUGAGUUUCAUCUGUGAACCUUUCAUUCUAAAGUCAACAGAUGAACUUGUUUGCUUUCUGUAUGCAGUAAGAAAGCUGAAGUGACAGUGCCGUAAGAAUACAGAAGAAACAGUGAGAUAUUAUUCUUAAAUAGUAAAUGUAGAAGUUCUAGAAAAGUAGCCUACAGUUCCUCUCCAGUUACUUACUGUAUCUCAAGAUAAUAGGGUCUUUCUCUGCACAGUAUACUUUGUUCUUCAUUAGGGAAAGAGGAAGUAAAGAAAUGAGUUAAUUUUAUUAUCAUGAAAUAAUAUCCUGACUUAAUUUGGUAUCCAGCUAUGUCUGAAGCCAUCCGCUACAGGAAGAGCUAGGACAAAGUCUUCAUGCACGCCCUAGCACCAAACUUUCAACAUCUGGAAGGUACUAUGUGCCAGACAUAUUCAAUGCAGAACUUGCGCAUAGAU